Non-coding RNA from Aedes aegypti (yellow fever mosquito), 117 nucleotides. The record is from Rfam. Lineage: Eukaryota; Metazoa; Arthropoda; Insecta; Diptera; Culicidae.
UGCCCAGCAACUCCUAUCCCUACCUCCUCGUGGUACUGGCCGGAGUACGAGUAACCUUGGGGAAGAUCGGGUAACCAACCCCCGGUGGGAACUUUGGUCGUAUGCUGACAGGGAAGG